This 73-nucleotide transfer RNA is filed under the name Jacana jacana (wattled jacana). Its description in RNAcentral is "tRNA-Asn". The record is from RNAcentral. Lineage: Eukaryota; Metazoa; Chordata; Aves; Charadriiformes; Jacanidae.
CUAGGCAGACGGGCUUCGAUCCCAUAAAAUUCUAAUUAACAGCUAGACGCCUAAACCAACUGGCUUCUGCCUA